RNAcentral lists this ribosomal RNA (505 nucleotides) under Gorgonorhynchus citrinus. Its description in RNAcentral is "partial 16S ribosomal RNA". It matches the Rfam family "Bacterial large subunit ribosomal RNA", at positions 1816 to 2597 of the family's 2925-position model. The record is from RNAcentral. Lineage: Eukaryota; Metazoa; Nemertea; Pilidiophora; Heteronemertea; Gorgonorhynchidae.
AGCUUGUUGGUUGGUUUAGUAAUAAGUGUUUCCUGCCCGGUGUGGAUUAAACGGCCGCGGUAUUUUGACCGUGCAAAGGUAGCAUAAUCAUUUGUCCUUUGAUUGGGGACUGGAAUGAAUGGAAUUUUGAGGGCCAGACUGUCUCUUGCUUUGCUUAGAAUUUGCUGUUUUUGUGAAGAAGCGGAAUUUGCUGAAAAAGACAAGAAGACCCUAUUAAGCUUCACUUUUUGGUUUUUGUUUGUUUCUUUAUAGUAGUUGGUGAAAAGCGGGAAAGUUUGGUUGGGGUGACUAGAGGGGGUGUUAUCCUCUCUUUUGGAAUUAAUUUUUGGUUGGAUGUAGACCCAGGAUCUUCUGGUUGAAAGAAUUAGUUACUAUAGGGGUAACAGCGUAAUCCUUCCGGAGAGUUCUUAUUGAGGGGAGGGGUUGCGACCUCGAUGUUGACUUGCUUUUUCCUUUAUAGGGUGUAGGAGCUGUUAGGGUUGGUCUGUUCGACCAUUAAAAUUGC